AUAGGGUGCAACCGUGUAGUUAUCAAUUAUGACAAUCUAGAGGUCAUCGAGACAAUGAACAAUGGAGGAGGUCAUGCGAGUGCAGUGGCGGCGAUUUUCGAUGAUUGUUAUCAUCUCGCUUGUGUUUUUUCUAUUUCUAGGUUUGAACAUUGUAAUAGAGAAGCAAAUAAGGUAGCUCACGAACUAGCUAGGUUAGUAAGAUUUUCGGCGACUUAUGAUUGGUUUGAGGAAUCGCUGAAUGAAAUUGUAAAUUUCCUCACAGACGAUGUAUCUAUUUUAUCUAAUGAAUAA
This 291-nucleotide ribosomal RNA is filed under the name Triticum aestivum (bread wheat). RNAcentral describes it as "partial small subunit ribosomal RNA". The record is from RNAcentral. Lineage: Eukaryota; Viridiplantae; Streptophyta; Magnoliopsida; Poales; Poaceae.